GAUGAACGCUGGCGGCGCGCCUAAUACAUGCGAGUCGAGCGAACGGACGAGAAGCUUGCUUCUCUGAUGUUAGCGGCGGACGGGUGAGUAACACGUGGAUAACCUACCUAUAAGACUGGGAUAACUUCGGGAAACCGGAGCUAAUACCGGAUAAUAUUUUGAACCGCAUGGUUCAAAAGUGAAAGACGGUCUUGCUGUCACUUAUAGAUGGAUCCGCGCUGCAUUAGCUAGUUGGUAAGGUAACGGCUUACCAAGGCAACGAUGCAUAGCCGACCUGAGAGGGUGAUCGGCCACACUGGAACUGAGACACGGUCCAGACUCCUACGGGAGGCAGCAGUAGGGAAUCUUCCGCAAUGGGCGAAAGCCUGACGGAGCAACGCCGCGUGAGUGAUGAAGGUCUUCGGAUCGUAAAACUCUGUUAUUAGGGAAGAACAUAUGUGUAAGUAACUGUGCACAUCUUGACGGUACCUAAUCAGAAAGCCACGGCUAACUACGUG
This 497-nucleotide ribosomal RNA is filed under the name uncultured bacterium. RNAcentral describes it as "partial 16S ribosomal RNA". It matches the Rfam family "Bacterial small subunit ribosomal RNA", at positions 28 to 507 of the family's 1533-position model. The record is from RNAcentral.